GGCUCGUUAGCUCAGUUGGUAAGAGUUUCACACCGAUUUUGUGGAGGUCGUAGGUUCGAAUCCUACACGGGCCC
Diorhabda sublineata is the source of this 74-nucleotide non-coding RNA. The record is from the annotation of a RefSeq genome assembly. NCBI's taxonomy places the organism in Eukaryota, Metazoa, Arthropoda, Insecta, Coleoptera, Chrysomelidae.